RNAcentral lists this long non-coding RNA (504 nucleotides) under Setaria viridis. RNAcentral describes it as "long non-coding RNA (SVIR_LNC008888)". The record is from RNAcentral. Lineage: Eukaryota; Viridiplantae; Streptophyta; Magnoliopsida; Poales; Poaceae.
GAUUGAUGAGAUCCGGCUGUUCACAAGCACCCAGGCAGGCACGUUGAAUUUUGCAAAAAAUCCCUUCAGUUCUCCGCUAAUCGACUUUGGGUUUAGAAAUGCUCGUCGCCUGCGGUAACCACUGCACGUUCGGUUUCUUUGCGGCACGCCCCUCUAUUCCAAAAUAUUUCAACACCAAGAAGAGAAAAUUCCGAUUUCAUAUCACUUUUGCAAAAAAAAAACUCCGUCGGCCAUUUUGAGAAGAACCCCCACCGCUCCACCGCACCUGUUAACCGGACGGGCGGCUGGCCCCGCCACCCCCCCCCCCCCCAUUUCUCUCUGCGUCUUCUCUCCGUUGUCGCUCCUCGCUACCAUCGGCUUCUGGCGCCGCGCGGCUUGCUGUCGCUUCCCACUUCUCCAUUUCUCUCCGUCCUCGUGACCGGCGCUCGAUCCCCACAUCGCCGCCGCACCAGGGAGCGUCCCUCGCAGCCCAUCCCGUAUCGCGAGCAGCCCUCACACCCUAAC